GAUGAAGAACGCAGCGAAGUGCGAUACGUAAUGUGAAUUGCAAAUUCAGUGAAUCAUCGAGUCUUUGAACGCACAUUGCGCCCCCUGGUAUUCCGGGGGGCAUGCCUGUCCGAGCGUCAUUGCUGCCCUCAAGCACGGCUUGUGUGUUGGGCCCCGUCCUCCGAUCCCGGGGGACGGGCCCGAAAGGCAGCGGCGGCACCGCGUCCGGUCCUCGAGCGUAUGGGGCUUUGUCACCCGCUCUGUAGGCCCGGCCGGCGCUUGCCGAUCAACCCAAAUUUUUAUCCAGGUUGACCUCGGAUCAGGUAGGGAUACCCGCUGAACUUAAGCAUAUCAAUAAGCGGAGGA
Molecule: unclassified non-coding RNA, 345 nt
Filed under: soil metagenome
Description: partial contains 5.8S ribosomal RNA, internal transcribed spacer 2, and large subunit ribosomal RNA
Rfam family: 5.8S ribosomal RNA (bases 1-119)
Source: RNAcentral